AUGAACUCCAUCCCUGGCCUUGAGGAAGUCCCAGACCACCGAUGAAAUGCAUGGACAGCAACAGAAGAAAGGACAAUCUGAUGAUUCGAGUCAUUUGGAUAAAUAAUCCUCUGAUGCUUAACCAACUUGUGGAAGAAGGAAACUGCUUAGAUGUGUGUAAAAUUAACACCAAGCUCGGAGUGAAAUUCACCAUAAAUCUCAGCUCUAAAGUUAAAUGACACAUUUGAAUCCUGAAAUCAUCAAACAAGCAAAUAAUUUCAGCAGCUGCCUCACAAAAGACAUCUUCAGAGACUACAUUCAGCAAGUAGACAACUAAGAAUUAAUUUAGGAAAAGCACUCACUCUCUCUCUCUUUUGAAAAACUGAAAGGCAGUAUCAAUUGACCAUAAAGUUGAUCUCAAUAGACUGUAUCAGAUACACAGACAUUGAUUUAAAAAUGCAGGCACACACAAAAGUACUCCCUACACAAGCCUAUUCCUUUGGGCCUUUGUUAUUUUUAUUUUUUUUGAGAGGGACUCUUGCUCUGUUGCCCAGGCUGGAGUGCAGUGGCGUAGUCUUGUCUCACUGCAACCUCUGCCUCCCGGGUUCAAGCGAUUCUCUUGCCUCAGCCUCCUCAGUGGCUGGGAUUACAGGCACCCACCACCAUGCCUGGAAAAUUUUUGUAUUUUUAGUAGAGAUGGGGUUUCACCAUGUUGACCAGGCUGGUCUCAAACUCCUGACCUCAUGAUCCGCUCCUCUUGGCCUCCCAAAGUGCUGGGAUUACAGGUGUGAGCCACCGCGCCCGGAUGGCCAUUUUUAAAAAAACUUGAAAUCUGCCUUGAAGACCUGGUAUGAGUUGAACCUCCCCUCCCACCCCAAUUUAAUAUGUUACAGUCCUAACCCCCCCCGCCAGUAAUUCAGAAUGUGACCUUAUUUAGAGAUAACAUCUUUACAGAGGUAAUCAAGUUAAAAUGAAAUCAUUAGGAUAGGCCCUAAUUCAGUAUGACUGGUGUCCUUUUGGACACAGGAACACAUAUAGAAAGAAAAUGAGUUGAAGAGACAUAGAGGGAAGACAACCAUCUAUGAGCAAAGAAGACAGGCCUGGAACAGAUCCUUCUCUCAAAGUCCUCAGAAGAAACCAACUCUGCUGAUUCCUUGAUCUUGGAC
Molecule: long non-coding RNA, 1145 nt
Filed under: Homo sapiens (human)
Lineage: Eukaryota; Metazoa; Chordata; Mammalia; Primates; Hominidae
Description: HSALNT0150144
Source: RNAcentral